UAAUUAAAAACAAUUAACAGCAUGUUGUACUUCAGUAAUUACAAUUAUGGAGGCUACAAAAAAUAAGCCUUGACAGGUGGCCCCCAGGAAGUGACUUGGGAAACCGUGUGUUAAUGUAUUGUGAGGAAAAAAGAAUAAUGAACUCAGUGGGGAGGAGAUAGCCUGACGGAAACCGCAUCCAGAGGUGUGGAAAAAAAGUAGAGUGGCUUGUUACAGAAUCGCUGAUCGGCUCUGCCUUUUAAAAAAUUUGAUUCCAGUUUACCUUUUUGCCUUUUUGUCCCUGGCUGGAUUAGGAAUUUGUCAUCAGAGCUUCAGCGCUUCUCACCGACAGAGCUGCCGGCAGACUGUGCGUUCGGCAGCCGAGUCUUUCCAGGCUUGCGUGGUUUUCACCGAGGUCAGAAGCGGACACCUGCCUGGUGAUGUUUUUGGAGGUCUGCGGGGGGUGCGCGCAUCCCUGCGGCAAGUUAUCCGUGAGGAGCCUGAUUCUGAGACCCAGGAUGAUCGGCGCCUGCAGCUGCUGCAGGAGGCUGCCGGAGCUCCGGUCUGUCGGGGGACCUCCUGACGUGCACUGCCAGAACAAAGCCUUUCUCUCAGGGAGCACCCCCUUAACCUUUGUCUUACUGGACUGACCCGCAAGGCAGUGGUAGACAGCAGGGUGAGAGCUGAGCCUGACUGUCAAUGCUCCGGGGUCCAUCUGGACUUCCCUACUGUUUUAGUCCGGCCAUGAGAUGCCCGGUUAUGGUCGCCAUGGGGAAGCACAGUUGGGGUCUUGAUAGUUGAAGCAGGAGAGGCUCUGUAUUGGCAGGGGAAGAUAGCCUACGGACACAUAUACAUGCACACAUGCACACAGUGAUAAUGGAAUUAAAUCUGUGGCAUGUAAAGAAACCUGUGGCACAUUUAAGUGGUUUUAAAAAAUGCUAAUUUGUCAUGGCUAUGGUGGGGUUGUCAUAAGCAUGGUAGAUUGUCUCUGCGUGGUGUAAUUGUGUUCUGCUGGCAG
This is a long non-coding RNA of Anguilla rostrata (American eel), 997 nucleotides long. RefSeq lists it as uncharacterized. The record is from RefSeq and is a predicted model, not a curated record. Lineage: Eukaryota; Metazoa; Chordata; Actinopteri; Anguilliformes; Anguillidae. The transcript is spliced from 2 exons.